RNAcentral lists this ribosomal RNA (232 nucleotides) under uncultured bacterium. Its description in RNAcentral is "partial 16S ribosomal RNA". It matches the Rfam family "Bacterial small subunit ribosomal RNA", at positions 545 to 776 of the family's 1533-position model. The record is from RNAcentral.
UCGGAAUCACUGGGCUUAAAGCGCGCGUAGGCGGGCUGUCAAGUCUGGGGUGAAAUCCCACGGCUCAACCGUGGAACUGCUGGGCAUACUGGACAUCUCGAGGCACUCAGGGGCGAGCGGAACAAGUGGUGGAGCGGUGAAAUGCGUAGAUAUCACUUGGAACGCCAAUGGUGAAGACAGCCCGCUGGGGGUGUCCUGACGCUGAGGCGCGAAAGCCAGGGGAGCGAACGGG